Molecule: ribosomal RNA, 357 nt
Filed under: Nodularia breviconcha
Lineage: Eukaryota; Metazoa; Mollusca; Bivalvia; Unionida; Unionidae
Description: partial 16S ribosomal RNA
Rfam family: Bacterial large subunit ribosomal RNA
Source: RNAcentral
AGCGUGAGCGUGCUAAGGUAGCGUAAUAAUUAGCCUCUUAAUUGGAGGCCAGUGAAUGGCAAGACUAGGAAUAGCUGUACUUUGUAUAUAAAAAGAAUUUUUCGUCUAAGUGAAAAGACUUAGAUAACAAAGGAAGACGAAAAGACCCCGCGGAACUUUACCUUUUCUUAAACUCCUGUCUACAAACUUAAAGGUUUAAUAGGUUUGAUUGGGGCAAUCUUGGAACCAACAAAACUUCCAAUUUUUUAAAAGUAAAAAUAUAAAAUUUAUUGAGGACCAAAAAGUAGUUACCCCGGGGAUAACAGCGUAAUCCAACUUGAGAGUACACAUCGAAAGUUGGGUUUGCGACCUCGAUGU